UACGUAGGGUGCGAGCGUUAAUCGGAAUUACUGGGCGUAAAGAGUGCGCAGGCGGUUUUGCAAGACCGAUGUGAAAUCCCCGGGCUUAACCUGGGAACUGCAUUGGUGACUGCAAGGCUAGAGUGUGUCAGAGGGAGGUGGAACUCCGCGUGUAGCGGUGAAAUGCGUAGAUAUGCGGAAGAACACCGAUGGCGAAGGCAGCCUCCUGGGAUAACACUGACGCUGAUGCGCGAAAGCGUGGGGAGCAAACAGG
Molecule: ribosomal RNA, 253 nt
Filed under: uncultured bacterium
Lineage: Bacteria
Description: partial 16S ribosomal RNA
Rfam family: Bacterial small subunit ribosomal RNA
Source: RNAcentral